GUCUUUUUGAGUUAUUUUUAAAGUCUGACCUGCCCACUGAAUUUAUUUUAAAUGGCCGCAGUAUUCUAACUGUGCAAAGGUAGCAUAAUCAUUAGUCUUUUAAUUGAAGGCUGGUAUGAACGGUUGGACGAGGUAUAAGCUGUUUCAUGUAAAUUUAUAAUAGAAUUUUAUAUUUUAGUCAAAAAGCUAAAAUGUAAUUAAAAGACGAGAAGACCCUAUAAAUCUUUAUAAUUUAUAUAAUUUAAAUUUUUUGGAUUUGUUUUAUUUUUAUUGUAUAAAUUAUUUUGUUGGGGUGAUGUUAAAAUUUAAUGAACUUUUAAUUGAAUUUAAAUCAUUAAUUUAUGAAUUAUUGAUCCAUUAGUAGUGAUUAUAAGAUUAAGUUACUUUAGGGAUAACAGCGUAAUUUUUUUGGAGAGUUCAUAUCGAUAAAAAAGUUUGCGACCUCGAUGUUGGAUUAAGAUAUAAUUUUAGGUGUAGCCGCUUAAAUGUUAAGUCUGUUCGACUUUUAAAUUCUU
RNAcentral lists this ribosomal RNA (515 nucleotides) under Dacus bivittatus. Its description in RNAcentral is "partial 16S ribosomal RNA". The stretch from base 391 to 515 matches the Rfam family "Bacterial large subunit ribosomal RNA", at positions 2473 to 2597 of the family's 2925-position model. Lineage: Eukaryota; Metazoa; Arthropoda; Insecta; Diptera; Tephritidae. The record is from RNAcentral.